RNAcentral lists this ribosomal RNA (325 nucleotides) under uncultured eukaryote. Its description in RNAcentral is "partial 18S ribosomal RNA". It matches the Rfam family "Eukaryotic small subunit ribosomal RNA", at positions 1470 to 1796 of the family's 1831-position model. The record is from RNAcentral.
CCCUUAGAUGUCCUGGGCCGCACGCGCGCUACACUGAUGCAUUCAACGAGUUUCACCUUGGCCGAGAGGCCUGGGCAAUCUUUUAAACCUGCAUCGUGAUAGGGAUAGAUUAUUGCAAUUGUUAAUCUUGAACGAGGAAUUCCUAGUAAACGCAAAUCAUCAAUUUGCAUUGAUUACGUCCCUGCCCUUUGUACACACCGCCCGUCGCACCUACCGAUUGAAUGGUCCGGUGAGGCCUCGGGAUUGUGGCCAGUUCACUUUAUUGGGAGUUGGCUGUGAGAACUUGUCUAAACCUUAUCAUUUAGAGGAAGGUGAAGUCGUAACA